This 430-nucleotide ribosomal RNA is filed under the name Olios giganteus. RNAcentral describes it as "partial 16S ribosomal RNA". The record is from RNAcentral. Lineage: Eukaryota; Metazoa; Arthropoda; Arachnida; Araneae; Sparassidae.
UUUUCCAAAAACAUAUUUAAUAGUUAUAAUUAUUAAUAUUACCUGCUCAAUGAAUUUUAAAUAGCCGCAGUUCAUACUGUGCUAAGGUAGCAUAAUCAUUUGUCUUUUAAUUAAAGACUAGAAUGAAAGGUUAAACAUUUAAAUUACUUUAAAAAUAUUUAAUUUUAAAAUUAUUAUAGAUGUAAUAAAACAUUUAUUAAAUAGAUAGACGACAAGACCCUAUUGAGCUUAACUGAAGUUUAACUGGGGCAGUUAAUUAAUUAAUACCUUAAUUAUAUUUCAUUUAAUGACCUAAUCCAAUUAACUAAAUGAUCAAGUUACCAUAGGGAUAACAGCGUAAUAUCUUUCUAUAGCUCUUAUAUAAAAACAUGAUUACGACCUCGAUGUUGAAUUAAUUAUUCUAAUAGAUGCAUCCAUCNAAAAGAAAGUC